GUCCGCGCUGUAAACGGUGGGUACUAGNUGUGGGGGACAUUCCACGUUCUCUGUGCCGUAGCUAACGCAUUAAGUACCCCGCCUGGGGAGUACGGCCGCAAGGCUAAAACUCAAAGGAAUUGACGGGGCCCCGCACAAGCGGCGGAGCAUGCGGAUUAAUUCGAUGCAACGCGAAGAACCUUACCUGGGUUUGACAUAUAUCGGAAACGUUCAGAGAUGGGCGCCCCGUAAGGUCGGUAUACAGGUGGUGCAUGGCUGUCGUCAGCUCGUGUCGCGAGAUGUUGGGUUAAGUCCCGCAACGAGCGCAACCCUCGUCCAAUGUUGCCAGCGGGUUAUGCCGGGGACUCAUUGGAGACCGCCGGGGUCAACUCGGAGGAAGGUGGGGAUGACGUCAAGUCAUCAUGCCCCUUAUGUCCAGGGCUUCACGCAUGCUACAAUGGCCGGUACAAAGAGUUGCGAGCCUGUGAGGGUGAGCGAAUCUCAAAAAGCCGGUCUCAGUUCGGAUUGGGGUCUGCAACUCGACCCCAUGAAGUCGGAGUCGCUAGUAAUCGCAGAUCAGCAACGCUGCGGUGAAUACGUUCCCGGGGCUUGUACACACCGCCCGUCAAGUCAUGAAAGUCGGUAACACCCGAAGCCGGUGGCNNNNNCCGUUUGGGGGGGAGCUAUCGAAGGUGGGACUGGUAAUUAGGACUAAGUCGUAACAAGGUAACC
RNAcentral lists this ribosomal RNA (711 nucleotides) under uncultured bacterium. RNAcentral describes it as "bacterial SSU rRNA". It matches the Rfam family "Bacterial small subunit ribosomal RNA", at positions 793 to 1501 of the family's 1533-position model. The record is from RNAcentral.